Molecule: ribosomal RNA, 356 nt
Filed under: uncultured bacterium
Lineage: Bacteria
Description: bacterial SSU rRNA
Rfam family: Bacterial small subunit ribosomal RNA
Source: RNAcentral
AGAGUUUGAUCAUGGCUCAGGAUGAACGCUAGCUACAGGCUUAACACAUGCAAGUCGAGGGGAAACGACAUCGAAAGCUUGCUUUUGAUGGCGUCGACCGGCGCACGGGUGAGUAACGCGUAUCCAACCUGCCCAUCACUUGGGGAUAACCUUGCGAAAGUAAGACUAAUACCCAAUGAUAUCUCUAGAAGACAUCUGAAAGAGAUUAAAAGAUUUUAUCGGUGAUGGAUGGGGAUGCGUCUGAUUAGCUUGGUUGGCGGGGUAACGGCCCACCAAGGCUACGAUCAGUAGGGGUUCUGAGAGGAAGGUCCCCCANAUUGGAACUGAGACACGGUCCAAACUCCGUACGGGAGGCA